RNAcentral lists this long non-coding RNA (1275 nucleotides) under Rhinopithecus bieti (black snub-nosed monkey). RNAcentral's name for it is "lncRNA (ENSRBIG00000046109.1)". Lineage: Eukaryota; Metazoa; Chordata; Mammalia; Primates; Cercopithecidae. The record is from RNAcentral.
AGGAUUAAAUGGGCUGGCAUUCAUAAGGCUCCUAGGACCUGCUUGGUGCUUGAACAGAAGUCAAAUGUGCUAAUUCGUGGUUUACAUGGAAUACCUCCAUUCCUGCCUGUACUCCUGUCUCCACCUGCUGCCACUGGAAGGGUUGCUUGGAGCUUUGCCAUAAUCUUUACCUUCAGCCAGGGAGAAAGGAGAAGGCUGCCCAAGGCAGGGAGUGCUUGGGGGAGCAUCCUGCAGGAAUGCGCUCUGUGGACUUUGCUCAGUUCAGACCAACAGGUGUUCAUCGCAUUCCAGGCCUGUUUGAUUCCAGGAAUGCACAGCUUCAGCAUGAUGCAGUCACAGUGCACUGGAGCAGGGAACACUGGGACGGAAGAAAUGAACCUUGCUCUCUCCCAUUCUCUGCCAGACUCUGGUCCAGAAGUGCACAGCGUUUGCAGCCACAGCCAGUGCCAGAGCCAGGUGUGACCCUUCAUCCCCACUUCCCCGGUGAGAAAACUGAGGCCCAAAGUGGACCAACGCCUAGUUAUUAUGCAUCGUGGAGGUGUCAGGAAAGGAGUGUGUGUGUGUGUGUGUCUCUCUCUGUGUGGGUGUCCAUGUCCGUGUAUGUCUGUGUAUGUCUCUGUGUUUGUCUUUGUGUGUGUCUGUGUGUAAUCCCUGUUGUCUUUCAUGUGUCUGUGUAUGUCUCUGUGUGUGUGUGUCUAUGUGUAUGUGCACAGACACACGUGUGCUCAGGGGUAGUGCAGGAAGAAGGACCUGCAGGAAAACGUUCUUCUUUUUACCCGAAGCCUGUGGCAAAUAUCCUUCCUUGGCUUCAAGGGCAGUCGACUGUCGGCUGUCAUGCGGUGGGGACAGCCUCGGACGGAGCACGCCAUGUGCAGCUCAGCGCGACGAUGAGUGCUCGCUCAGACUUUGGACAUCUCAUGUCUAAUGUAUUUGGACCUGCUUGUCUCUGUAAUGAAAAAAACAUGCUGCUUCUCAUGGAUAAUAACUUUGGACUUCCUGGACAGCUCUUUUGUUUUGUUUACGUUAGCAGAAAGUAUUUCACCCUUUAAAAACAUUACUCUCUCUUUUAUCUGUUUUACAGUAUUAAAAAUACAUCAAUGUGUUUAUAUUUAAAAUGGGAAAAGUCAAAACAUUUUUAUAGCAUCUUUUAAUCUUUGUUUAAAGGACAGUGGGAGUGGGGAAUAGCUUCUAGGUUAUGUUCAAUUUUGUUAGUUUCUGAAAGGACUUAUUUCUCUGUUAAGGAUUCCACACCUUUUGUGUUGGACAGAUGUUCAG